AGCGGGUGCUCUCACUUUGUGGGUCCUUAUGUAACUGCGUGGUGUUAUUCAGGAUCGCCCUUUCUACACUGUGUGACGGUGCUGCGGUGUCUCCUAGUUAUUUGUUUCUGAUCUGAGAAGCAGGAGCAAGGAACUCAUGGAGAGAUCCAGGAAGAUAUCUGACUGUGUUAAGAGACGACAGUCACAGUGACACGUGGAGCGAAGACACUUGCAGUAAAGUAAAAUAACUUCACAACUAUUGCAUCAGAGCUGCAAGUGUGAGAGAACCUAAGCCUGUCUCAGAGUGCAGGGGACAAGAGAAAAGGAAUGUGUAAGAAUGCCGGUGACUCAGUUAGAAGCAUGCAUCCAAGCCGUCCUUCCGUGUCAUCACCAUCUAGAAGCGGUGCCUGAAUCUUCUGAAUUUCUGCAGAAUGUGGUUUACAAUCACCUUGAACAA
Vicugna pacos (alpaca) is the source of this 436-nucleotide non-coding RNA. The record is from RefSeq and is a predicted model, not a curated record. Lineage: Eukaryota; Metazoa; Chordata; Mammalia; Artiodactyla; Camelidae.